RNAcentral lists this ribosomal RNA (437 nucleotides) under uncultured soil bacterium. Its description in RNAcentral is "bacterial SSU rRNA". It matches the Rfam family "Bacterial small subunit ribosomal RNA", at positions 26 to 518 of the family's 1533-position model. The record is from RNAcentral.
AGAACGAACGCUGGCGGCAGGCCUAAUACAUGCAAGUCGAACGCACUCUUCGGAGUGAGUGGCAGACGGGUGAGUAACGCGUGGGAACCUUCCCAAUGGUACGGAAUAACUCCGGGAAACCGGUGCUAAUACCGUAUAAGCCCCUCGGGGGAAAGAUUUAUCGCCAUUGGAUGGGCCCGCGUCGGAUUAGCUAGUUGGUGAGGUAAUGGCUCACCAAGGCUACGAUCCGUAGCUGGUCUGAGAGGAUGAUCAGCCACACUGGGACUGAGACACGGCCCAGACUCCUACGGGAGCAGCAGUAGGGAAUCUUGGACAAUGGGCGAAAGCCUGAUCCAGCCAUGCCGCGUGAGUGAAGAGGCCUUAGGGUGUAAAGCUGUUGGCGGGACGAUAAUGGACGGUACCGCAGAAUAACGCCCGGAUACUCGCGCCAGCAGCGC